GCGGGCGUAGUUCAGUGGUAGAACGUCAGCUUCCCAAGCUGAAUGUCGUCGGUUCGAGUCCGAUCGUCCGCUCCA
RNAcentral lists this transfer RNA (75 nucleotides) under Methylobacterium sp. UNCCL125. RNAcentral's name for it is "tRNA_Gly_CCC". It matches the Rfam family "tRNA". From Rfam's summary of the family: Transfer RNA (tRNA) molecules are approximately 80 nucleotides in length. Their secondary structure includes four short double-helical elements and three loops (D, anti-codon, and T loops). The record is from RNAcentral. Lineage: Bacteria; Pseudomonadati; Pseudomonadota; Alphaproteobacteria; Hyphomicrobiales; Methylobacteriaceae.